RNAcentral lists this ribosomal RNA (780 nucleotides) under uncultured bacterium. Its description in RNAcentral is "bacterial SSU rRNA". It matches the Rfam family "Bacterial small subunit ribosomal RNA", at positions 8 to 796 of the family's 1533-position model. The record is from RNAcentral.
AGAGUUUGAUCAUGGCUCAGGACGAACGCUGGCGGCGUGCUUAACACAUGCAAGUCGAACGAGGUCCAACCGGUAGCAAUACCGGUGAAGACCUAGUGGCGAACGGGUGAGUAACACGUGAGCAACCUGCCCCGAAGACUGGGAUAACAGUGGGAAACCGCUGCUAAUACCGGAUGUCCCCACCGGACCGCAUGAUCUGGUGAGGAAAUGGAUUCCGCUUCGGGAGGGGCUCGCGGCCUAUCAGCUUGUUGGUGGGGUAACGGCCCACCAAGGCAACGACGGGUAGCUGGUCUGAGAGGACGAUCAGCCACACUGGGACUGAGACACGGCCCAGACUCCUACGGGAGGCAGCAGUGGGGAAUCUUGCGCAAUGGGCGAAAGCCUGACGCAGCAACGCCGCGUGAGGGAUGACGGCCUUCGGGUUGUAAACCUCUUUCGAGCAGGGACGAUUGUGACGGUACCUGCAGAAGAAGCUCCGGCCAACUACGUGCCAGCAGCCGCGGUAAUACGUAGGGAGCGAGCGUUGUCCGGAUUCAUUGGGCGUAAAGAGCUCGUAGGCGGCUCGGUAAGUCAGAUGUGAAACCUCCAGGCUCAACCUGGAGUCGCCAUCUGAUACUGCUGUGGCUAGAGUCCUGUAGGGGCCCACGGAACCCCUGGUGUAGCGGUGAAAUGCGCAGAUAUCAGGAAGAACACCGGUGGCGAAGGCGGUGGGCUGGGCCGGCACUGACGCUGAGGAGCGAAAGCGUGGGGAGCGAACAGGAUUAGAUACCCCAGUAGUCC